UUCGGUAACAGUUGGUUGUCUUACAGGGGCAGGCUUUGUUGAAGUCUCAGGCUUUUCAUCAGAGAAAGUUGAACUCUUUCUCAUUGAUGGUGCAGGGGACACCCGUUCUUGCCUAAUAUGCUAAUAAAGACCUCAAGGGGAGGAAAAAAAAACAUUACCUUUGAAAGAUUGAGUCUUCUGAAUUGGUAUUUUCGAAUCCCUGCUAUUAUUAUGAGCAUGCAUCCAACUACUAUCAGCUAGAAGGGAGACUGCAAAGAAACGAAAUUUUACGUAAAAUGAUCAUGUUGAUAAAGGAGAAAUUACUAUAUGGUUUUGAACCUAUACUUGUUUCUAUGGUAUUGGCUAAUUUUUACUUGACAUGUAAUCGGUUUUUUAUUUUGU
Molecule: long non-coding RNA, 381 nt
Organism: Glycine soja
Lineage: Eukaryota; Viridiplantae; Streptophyta; Magnoliopsida; Fabales; Fabaceae
Exons: 3
Source: RefSeq, a predicted model, not a curated record